This 3699-nucleotide unclassified non-coding RNA is filed under the name Hevea brasiliensis (rubber tree). The record is from RNAcentral. Lineage: Eukaryota; Viridiplantae; Streptophyta; Magnoliopsida; Malpighiales; Euphorbiaceae.
UUCACAAGAACAAUAUGAAUCUCAUAAUUGAUUGUAAAAGAAUUGGAUUUAUCAGAGUGUGAGAAGAUUUGAUGCAUACAUAUUGUGUACAACAACGGGGAAGAACUCACAUCCAGGCUUUGAUUAUCAAUCAUCAUAUGCUCUUAUCAAUUUUCAAAUGGAUAAGGCAUUCACAAAAACCGCAUAACCAUAUAAAUUUCAUUCUAAUCACAUGGUGAGAACAGUGGCCUGAUAAGAAGCUAUUUCCUUCUCCAUAGCAAGCCCCACUUGGCAUGAAUUCUCCCUCCUCCAAAUUAGAUGAUACAACAACAUAGCCUCAAUUACAUUAGUGAGCUUCAUUAUUCCCUUUCAAAUCUGAACCACUUCCAAUUUGCAUACAUAGUUGCUUCACUAUCAAAAGGAAAGGCAUCGCUUAGAGGGGUUUCUAACUUUCGAGUGUUUAAAACAGCAGGUAGCUUUUGCCUGUACUUUUUCGCCAUUUCUUCUGCCUCAGCAAACACUCUCUGGGCAAAGAAUAUAAAAUAUUUUCAAUGGAACCAUAUGAAACUCGCCAAAUGAGAAAGAAAGACAAUUUAGGCAAACAAUUGCACCUCUUUGUUUGAUAUGAAUAGGCCUGGUUCACUUUCAAGGUCAGCAAUACUGCAUGCCAAAUAAGUAAAAGUUAUCAUUAGCAGCCUAUUGGUUCCUCACUUGGCAAUUAAAUUUACACGUGACAAUAUUAGUAUUUUUCAUGUUUUAUUUAUGCAAGCUAAGCAAUGUUUGAAUGUUGUGUCAAAGAAUUUCACCAGUUAAAAUUCCAUCUAAUUCCUCUCCAACUUUCUUACAAGAGAAAAAGCUAAGCAUACUAAACUUCUUUUUCUUUGCAAAUGCACUCACACACGUGUGCAAUCAAUUAAUCCCAACAUUGUAUAUGAACAGAAAGAUAAACAGUGUGAUUGGAAACCUAAAAAAAAAAAAAAAGUACAACUCAAUUGUAUAUAAUCAAUUCAUCUCUGUCACAUUAGACAAAUUAUAUAGGAUCAAUUUAAUGUUUUUUUCCUAGCCUUUUAUCAUAUAUACACAUUACACCAAUAUAGAAAAGAACAGAUUUAGAGUGUCGCAUAUGUUGAUCUAUCUUGAGAGUCCCCUUCUAGAUCAGCAAAUGCUAUCGUAUAGGAUUGAAUUGUAAAGAAGUUUGAGACUGAUAAUGAGCACAGGAUCAACUUAAAAAAAGAAAGCAAUCGAGUCCUCAAUUACCUAAGUGAAAUUUUAUCAGGAAACAUUGACUUCACAACCAGCGCUUUAACCUUCUCAUCAACUUUAAGUAAGUCAUGGACAGCAGUAACCCGGCUUCGAGAGAUAUUUGAAAUAUGUAGCAACCCACUUCUGUUAGUUUCACCAAUUCUUACUUGGGCUCCAUAUGAAAAAAUUUUCUUAACAGUUCCCUCCAGCAGUGUUCCCUCCUGAAGGUUUAACAUUUCCCAAGCUUCCCUUUCACUAAGUAUCAGAUCAUUGUUAGUCUCAUUUAUUCUUGUGAUCAGUACAUAUAUUCGGCGUCCCACCUACGCCAUCAAGAAACUGAUAAUUCUUAGAGCAAAAGAAGAAGAAGAAAGGAAUCCACAAGAAGCAUAAAAUCAAUGCAAGAUAAUAAAACACAUAAUAGACAAAUAAAAACCAUAAAGAAGAAAAUCUAUAGACUAUUGAUUAUGAGAUGUCAGGGCCUAGCCUUUACUCUCUCACUUGUCAAACAUACAGCACAAAGUUAGUUGACAAGUUCACUCUAGAGUACAAUACAUUCAGGUAUACAAGCAAUGACUUUACCUACGAACUUAGAAUUUAAGUUCUAAAUGGAAAAUCCAUAAAACGGUGCUUUAAAGCAACUAUUAUGAUUAGAUACAGACCACUGUAUCUAUUAACAGAAGACACAGACAUGGCGCAUAAAAUGGUAGAUAUGUGCAAGGAAUACUCUCAAUAGAAAAUGUGAUUUUGCUAAAGUAGCAAAAAUUGCAAGAAAGGGUAGCCAAAGAGAAUCUAAUGACAUAGAGAAUCUAAUUAAGGUAAUGAGAGAAGACAUGAGACAAUUGGAAUGUCACACCAUUGCCUAGUAUUGGAUAAUUUACUAGCUUAGGUGCCUCCAGAAAAUCCUAGCAAAAAGAUUCUAAGGACAUCUAGAAAGCACCUUACCCAUUGACAUAUAUGCCGCAAAUUUACCAAGUGACAUAUACGCCGCAAAGUAAUUGAAACCAAAUUGUGCCUUCAUCAAUCAGUUGCAAUGAUCAAACAUAUGAAGCUUCUCCCUACUUGAAGUGAUUUUUUAUUUAUUAAGUUCCAAGGAAUAUAACAAAUGCAAGUCCAGAAGCAAAACGCUUUCAAAAAUUUUUUAGGUUAUUAUCCAGGCUUGAGAUUUCUAUAAUUCAUGCAGGAUCGCAACAACUAACAAAUCACAAAAAGUGUUAUAUAUUCAUACUUGGAAACAAAAAUAUUUACUAAGAAGAUGAAAAUAGUAAUUUUUUAAAGAAAUGCAAUUUACAUUUUCUUUCAACUCCUUGAAGUUGUUCACUCUAUUCAUCAACUCAGCCUUUGGGAGGAAAGCCCGUAAUCCCUCAAUUCUAGUAAGCAAGCCCCCAGUAUUCCACUCUGUGAUUUUAACCUCAAUAGGUUCAUUCAAUUCUUUUACCUGCCUCACUCGAUGCCAAGCUAUCCGCCGGAAUAAUCUUCUAGUUGAAAGCAAUGGCCGUCCACUGAGCGUCCUCCCAAGGACUUCUGCAAAAAGUAUGGUUCCAGUCUCUACCACCGGCCUCCCUGGACCUGCUCCCCCACUCACCGCAGCUUCAUCCUUAACAAUUCCCAUCUUCCCUCUCACCAUAAACCUCUCAGAAUCCUUAUCCAUAUCACACAACAAAUAUUCCAUCUCUUUGUCAUACAGAGGCAGCACCUCCUUUGUCAACAUCGUACCCAACAAAUCUGCCCCAACAUUCACAUCAAGCUUAUUCUCAUUUCCUGAAACAACGACACCUACUACGAAAUCACCUGGUUUUGGCUCAUAGUAGUCCACAUUAACCUUCUUAGCUUCCUUAUCUUUAUUAUUCAAACUAGACUUCCCCUCUACAACACUCGAGUCAUCUUCCUCUUCGUAUACUUCUUCUAAUGAAUCUCUAGGCUUAAAGAGCUUCAAAAAAGGGGCUAAGGCCUCUCCUUUAUUAUCUGUUUUAGAUUCUUUAUCAACUUCUAAACCUAUCCCAUUAUUUGUAGCUACCGGAGAUGGCUUAUUUAGCAAUUCCAGCUCUUCAUUCUCAUGAGUUCUAUGGUUUUGCGCCUUCUCAGGCAACUGGGUACUUGAAAAAUCAUCAAAAGCAUCAUCUUGACGGCAAAAUGAGAUGUGGGUACUUCUCCAAGGUGGAAUAUUCUUGGAGAAUGGCAAGGUUUUGAGUGACCCAAUAUUAGGAAAUAAGUGAAAACUAGAGGAUUUUAGGCAUUUGUUAUGGAUAGAAACGUUGUACGUGAGAAGGCAAUUGUUAAUACUAAGCGGUAACGAAGAGUUGAAGAGAGGCAGAGACUUACAGGGUUGAAGAAGGGUUUGCAUCUUUGGUUAGCCUGGACCUCAUGAGCUAGCUCUCCAUAUUUCAAUUUGGUGCUAGAUUUUUUCCCGCACGUUGGGAUGUCGUUGAUCCUCAAAUUCACUUCUUCGAUUUUAUCCUUUCCUCUGUUCUAUCGUGUUCG